RNAcentral lists this ribosomal RNA (301 nucleotides) under uncultured bacterium. RNAcentral's name for it is "partial 16S ribosomal RNA". It matches the Rfam family "Bacterial small subunit ribosomal RNA", at positions 509 to 807 of the family's 1533-position model. The record is from RNAcentral.
CAGUCGCCGCGGUAAUACAGACGGUGCGAGCGUUAAUCGGAUUUACUGGGCGUAAAGCGUGCGUAGGCGGCUUCUUAAGUCGGAUGUGAAAUCCCUGAGCUUAACUUAGGAAUUGCAUUCGAUACUGGGAAGCUAGAGUAUGGGAGAGGAUGGUAGAAUUCCAGGUGUAGCGGUGAAAUGCGUAGAGAUCUGGAGGAAUACCGAUGGCGAAGGCAGCCAUCUGGCCUAAUACUGACGCUGAGGUACGAAAGCAUGGGGAGCAAACAGGAUUAGAUACCCCCGUAGUCCCUGUCUCUUAUAC